RNAcentral lists this long non-coding RNA (249 nucleotides) under Mytilus galloprovincialis (Mediterranean mussel). The record is from RNAcentral. Lineage: Eukaryota; Metazoa; Mollusca; Bivalvia; Mytilida; Mytilidae.
UCCGGGAUGAAUGAGAUCCUAACAUCCAAUGGAAUGUGGGUUAGCGAGUUGUAAGGAUAUCAAUGUAUCUGGACGUAAAUUUAAACAAAAAAUGACAGUAUGUUUUUCGUGUUUGUAAUGGCUUUGUAUGAAUUGUUGCUUCAUAUAAAGUAAAAAAAAAAAAAAUAAUAAAUAAAAAUAAACAGGGCGCAAAAUGAGUAUCCAAUUAGAGACCGAUUGUUUGUUGGAAUAUCAUUUUAACAAACUCGG